UUGGACCUGAUAUCAGACAAGA
This 22-nucleotide ribosomal RNA is filed under the name Elongisporangium dimorphum. RNAcentral's name for it is "Pythium dimorphum partial 28S ribosomal RNA". Lineage: Eukaryota; Oomycota; Peronosporomycetes; Pythiales; Pythiaceae. The record is from RNAcentral.